UCCCGUGUGGCUCAGUUGGUAGAGCAUGGCGCUUAUAACACCAGGGUUGUGGCUUCAAAUCCCACGAGGGAC
RNAcentral lists this transfer RNA (72 nucleotides) under Salmo salar (Atlantic salmon). It matches the Rfam family "tRNA". From Rfam's summary of the family: Transfer RNA (tRNA) molecules are approximately 80 nucleotides in length. Their secondary structure includes four short double-helical elements and three loops (D, anti-codon, and T loops). Further hydrogen bonds mediate the characteristic L-shaped molecular structure. tRNAs have two regions of fundamental functional importance: the anti-codon, which is responsible for specific mRNA codon recognition, and the 3' end, to which the tRNAs corresponding amino acid is attached (by aminoacyl-tRNA synthetases). tRNAs cope with the degeneracy of the genetic code in two manners: having more than one tRNA (with a specific anti-codon) for a particular amino acid; and 'wobble' base-pairing, i.e. permitting non-standard base-pairing at the 3rd anti-codon position. Lineage: Eukaryota; Metazoa; Chordata; Actinopteri; Salmoniformes; Salmonidae. The record is from Rfam by way of RNAcentral.